This 60-nucleotide microRNA precursor is filed under the name Eisenia fetida (common brandling worm). Its description in RNAcentral is "Efe-Mir-1987_pre stem-loop". Lineage: Eukaryota; Metazoa; Annelida; Clitellata; Crassiclitellata; Lumbricidae. The record is from RNAcentral.
AGAGCCUUAUGUACGGGCAUACUGUAAUCAAUCAAACCACUGCCAGACGUAAGGUUUUGC